Homo sapiens (human) is the source of this 592-nucleotide long non-coding RNA. The record is from Ensembl. NCBI's taxonomy places the organism in Eukaryota, Metazoa, Chordata, Mammalia, Primates, Hominidae.
GUGGCUGGCACAAAGAGACGAUGGAGCUGCCGUUUUGAACAUGCCUAGUCCCAGUGUCUGAGGCGCAUGGCCCCGGGAGAGGAGGAGAAUGGGACGGUGGUUCAGAUCUGCUGAUGUAGCUGUGGUCAGUCACUGGGGAGAAUAGGCCUGUGGAUUUCUGCUCCUCUGAGAUGGAUCCAUCACUGACUACUGAACUUGUUUUCUCAUUGGCUCAACUUAAGAAGGUUCUAGAGGAUCAAGGACGUGAAACAACCAAAACCAAAGAGCAGCUGGAGACCACUUGCCAGUGAUUAGCACGAGCUUCUGGACCAGCAGCUUGCCCCGUGACGUCUGUUCUCUGAUGAAUUGAUGAUCUGGAGACUUUAAUAUGGGAUUUAUGAUGGCUAAAGAGCAUUACCUACCCAAGAGGAACCUUUAAUCCAGGGAGGAAGUUAUGAGUUUUUGGUUCAUUUUGUGGUCAACCUCAUUCCUUCUAGUUUUGUCUAUGGCCUAGGCGAGAGAAAAUAAUUGGAAAUGCUAUGAUGAAAAUAAUAGAACGAUUCCUCUUGUUGCUAUGGUGACAAGAAUAAAUUGAAUCCAUUGCUCUGAAAAA